AUACGGAGGGGGCUAGCGUUGUUCGGAAUUACUGGGCGUAAAGCGCGCGUAGGCGGUUUUCCAAGUUGGGGGUGAAAUCCCGGGGCUCAACCCCGGAACUGCCCUCAAAACUGGAUGACUAGAGUCCGGGAGAGGUUGGCGGAAUUCCUAGUGUAGAGGUGAAAUUCGUAGAUAUUAGGAAGAACACCAGUGGCGAAGGCGGCCAACUGGACCGGAACUGACGCUAAGGUGCGAAAGCGUGGGGAGCAAACAGGAUUAGAAACCCCAGUAGUCC
RNAcentral lists this ribosomal RNA (274 nucleotides) under uncultured bacterium. Its description in RNAcentral is "partial 16S ribosomal RNA". It matches the Rfam family "Bacterial small subunit ribosomal RNA", at positions 523 to 796 of the family's 1533-position model. The record is from RNAcentral.